CAAUAGCCUGGUUAAAAAUGAUGUACAAAAACAAAUGUUGUGGGAAAUAAUCAAAUAUAGAGCUUGGCUCAUCUGCACCCCUAUAACAGGCCUGCAUUCUCAUUAUCCCCAGCAAAGAUUUACAACAGGCAUAUAUUAUUAACCCUGCCUUAAAGUUGACCUCUUCAAGUAUAAUAGGAAAUGCUGUAAAAAAAACUAAACUACACUUGUCAAAUUAACCAACAUAGCUUAUGUCAUAUCUUUUUUCAUUGUUUACCCACCAAUUAAAAAUUGAUCUCCAGGUUCUAGUGUAUAUUUGUGAGGUUUGACUGCAUAUAAAGCUGACCAUCUUAAUCCAUUUAAAAAAUCGGUCAGGUUCAGUUUAGCCCUCUUUCCCUUGCCAUAGCAGUGUCAAACUAUGUAAGGUGCCUAUAAUUUGGCAGUAUACCUAUUACUCCUAAAGCUUUCUGGGAAACACCUGAGUACAUUACUAAGCUAUAUUUAGCAAA
This is a long non-coding RNA of Dermochelys coriacea (leatherback sea turtle), 488 nucleotides long. RefSeq lists it as uncharacterized. The transcript has 2 exons. Lineage: Eukaryota; Metazoa; Chordata; Testudines; Dermochelyidae. The record is from RefSeq and is a predicted model, not a curated record.